Molecule: long non-coding RNA, 495 nt
Organism: Talpa occidentalis (Iberian mole)
Lineage: Eukaryota; Metazoa; Chordata; Mammalia; Eulipotyphla; Talpidae
Exons: 3
Source: RefSeq, a predicted model, not a curated record
CCAGGCAGGUGGGGAACCAUGAAGUCAAUCUCCAGCCAUUUUACCUUGAACAGUCUACACUGGCAAAUGCGUUCAUCUCUGCACAAAUUCUGCCACUGCGGCUUAGAAUCAGAGCUGGCAGCAACAACCCCCGGGCCCCACCCACCUGGUGUUAAACAUCAGCAGCGGAUCCUUUCAAAGCGCCCCUAGUUAGCGCCUAUCACCCUCGCCAGCAGACGUUUCAAAUGGGGAUGUCGAUACCACUGCACAAAGACUCGCGGGUCAUGAGGGAAUUGGCAAUCACAUCUGGAAGGGCCCUGAGUACUUAGUGUGUGAUGUACCAGCAGGAAGAGAAAUGAAGCCUGGAGUAAAAUCAUUGUUUGCCGUGGCAUAGCCCAGAGAACUCAGUCUCAUGAGAUGCCCCUGUGAUAAGAGCCUUGCAAUGGAUGAGCCGAGUUUUGCAAAUAUUACUCCCUACAUCCCUGCCUUUGCGAUCCACACUCUAUAAUUAAAGGC